This 320-nucleotide ribosomal RNA is filed under the name uncultured eukaryote. RNAcentral's name for it is "partial 18S ribosomal RNA". It matches the Rfam family "Eukaryotic small subunit ribosomal RNA", at positions 1470 to 1796 of the family's 1831-position model. The record is from RNAcentral.
CCCCUAGAUGUUCUGGGCCGCACGCGCGCUACACUGAACAGUUCAACAAGUCUUAACCUUGGCCGAUAGGUCUGGGUAAUCUUUGAACGCUGUUCGUGACUGGGAUAGACCUUUGCAAUUAUGGGUCUUCAACGAGGAAUUCCUAGUAAACGCAAGUCAUCAGCUUGCAUUGAUUACGUCCCUGCCCUUUGUACACACCGCCCGUCGCACCUACCGAUUGAAUGGUCCGGUGAAAUCUCGGGACGGCGGCUUGGUCGCUUGCGUCCGACUGCUGAAACUUGAUUAAACCAUAUCACUUAGAGGAAGGUGAAGUCGUAACA